RNAcentral lists this long non-coding RNA (204 nucleotides) under Gossypium barbadense (sea-island cotton). RNAcentral describes it as "long non-coding RNA (GBAR_LNC001759)". Lineage: Eukaryota; Viridiplantae; Streptophyta; Magnoliopsida; Malvales; Malvaceae. The record is from RNAcentral.
GGGAAAUAGUCAUUGCUUGCCAAAUUCGGAUGAUAAGAAGUAUCAGUCGAAUGCGAAUGCGAUCGCUCGGACUAAGCCUCCGGCUAUACCUCGGGCUUCGGCUCUGGGUCAUGCUCAGCAUCUGGCUGUGGAUCGGGCUCUAUAUCGGCCACUGGUGUAUGCCCCAGAUCGCUGCACGUGCGGGGGGACUAUAGUCGACUGCCC